AGGUAGCUCAGUUGGUUAGAGCAACAGACUCAUAAUCCGGAAGUCCCUGGUUCAAUCCCAGGUUGACCUA
Molecule: transfer RNA, 70 nt
Filed under: Bacteroides faecalis
Lineage: Bacteria; Pseudomonadati; Bacteroidota; Bacteroidia; Bacteroidales; Bacteroidaceae
Description: tRNA-Ile
Rfam family: tRNA
About the family: Transfer RNA (tRNA) molecules are approximately 80 nucleotides in length.
Source: RNAcentral